AAGAUCAUACUUCAAAGGAUCAUUUCUAUAGUAUGAUUGGGACGAUUCGUUGACAAAACGAAGUCCAACUCAGCCACGAUGAAGAUUUAAGGAGCUUCUUCCUGAGCGGGAAACCGAGUGUUCACCAUUGACUUCGGUCUUUUGGCGACUCUCAUUGAUGACCGUUCCUGCCUGGGGUAACAUCCAGGUGGGAGGGGAUUAGCUCGAUCUGAGUGGU
Small nucleolar RNA from Panonychus citri (citrus red mite), 217 nucleotides. RefSeq annotates it as small nucleolar RNA U3. The transcript has a single exon. The record is from RefSeq and is a predicted model, not a curated record. Lineage: Eukaryota; Metazoa; Arthropoda; Arachnida; Trombidiformes; Tetranychidae.